CUGCUCGCACUUUCCAUAUGGAGCUGGGAGCGUUUGCCGGUUGGACGACCUAAGACCGUGAAGUACGAGGAUUGGGACGAUAAAUACGACCCACUACGGCUCCCCACUUGGGCUUACAAGUGGGAUGUGUUAAAUGAGACGACGAAUGAUCCCUCUGUAAUGUACAAGUUGUACAAGAGCGAGCUGGACGCGAUCACGCCUGAGCAGGUGAACCGACCUUGCAUAAGUGAUUAUCAUGCUUGUAUCUUCACUCGAUAUCAAUUUUGCAUUCAAUCCCAUUUUGCAGGUGGAAUGGGAGCCGUAUGGAAAAGGAGAGAGUUUUGGUAA
This 327-nucleotide ribosomal RNA is filed under the name Triticum aestivum (bread wheat). RNAcentral describes it as "partial small subunit ribosomal RNA". Lineage: Eukaryota; Viridiplantae; Streptophyta; Magnoliopsida; Poales; Poaceae. The record is from RNAcentral.